RNAcentral lists this ribosomal RNA (252 nucleotides) under uncultured bacterium. Its description in RNAcentral is "partial 16S ribosomal RNA". It matches the Rfam family "Bacterial small subunit ribosomal RNA", at positions 524 to 776 of the family's 1533-position model. The record is from RNAcentral.
UACAGAGGUGGCAAGCGUUGUUCGGAAUUACUGGGCGUAAAGCGCGUGUAGGCGGCUCUUCAAGUCAGGCGUGAAAUGCCGGGGCUCAACCCCGGGACUGCGUCCGAUACUUCCGAGCUGGAGGUAGGUAGGGGAGAUCGGAAUUCCUGGUGUAGCGGUGAAAUGCGCAGAUAUCAGGAGGAACACCGGUGGCGAAGGCGGAUCUCUGGGCCUACCUGACGCUGAGGCGCGAAAGCUAGGGGAGCGAACAGG